CCUACGGGAGGCAGCAGUGGGGAAUCUUGCACAAUGGCCGAAAUCCUGAUGCACCAACGCCGCUUGAUUCAUGAAGGCCUUCGGGAUUGUAAAACUCUGUUGUUAGGGAAGAUAAUGACGGUACUAACUACGGAAGCCCUGGCUAAGUAACGUACCAGCAAGCGCCGGUAAUACUUAUUCC
This 181-nucleotide ribosomal RNA is filed under the name uncultured Clostridia bacterium. Its description in RNAcentral is "partial 16S ribosomal RNA". It matches the Rfam family "Bacterial small subunit ribosomal RNA", at positions 338 to 533 of the family's 1533-position model. The record is from RNAcentral. Lineage: Bacteria; Bacillati; Bacillota; Clostridia.